RNAcentral lists this ribosomal RNA (464 nucleotides) under uncultured bacterium. RNAcentral's name for it is "partial 16S ribosomal RNA". It matches the Rfam family "Bacterial small subunit ribosomal RNA", at positions 29 to 507 of the family's 1533-position model. The record is from RNAcentral.
ACGAACGCUGGCGGCGUGCUUAACACCUGCAAGUCGUACGGUAAGGCCCUUUCGGGGGUACACGAGUGGCGAACGGGUGAGUAACACGUGAGUAACCUGCCCACAACUUUGGGAUAACGCUAGGAAACUGGUGCUAAUACUGGAUAUGUGCUCCUGCUGCAUGGUGGGGGUUGGAAAGCUCCGGCGGUUGUGGAUGGACUCGCGGCCUAUCAGCUUGUUGGUGGGGUAGUGGCCUACCAAGGCGGCGACGGGUAGCCGGCCUGAGAGGGUGACCGGCCACAUUGGGACUGAGAUACGGCCCAGACUCCUACGGGAGGCAGAAGUGGGGAAGAUUGCACAAGGGGCGCAAGCCGGAUGCAGCAACGCCGCGGGCGGGAUGACGGCCUUCGGGUUGUAAACCGCUUUCAGCAGGAACGAAGCUUUUUGUGACGGUACCUGCAGAAGAAGCACCGGCUAACUACGUG